UGGGGAAUAUUGGACAAUGGGCGAAAGCCUGAUCCAGCCAUGCCGCGUGUGUGAAGAAGGUCUUCGGAUUGUAAAGCGCUUUAAGUUGGGAGGAAGGGCAUUAACCUAAUACGUUAGUGUUUUGACGUUACCGACAGAAUAAGCACCGGCUAACUCUGUGCCAGCAGCCGCGGUAAUACAGAGGGUGCAAGCGUUAAUCGGAAUUACUGGGCGUAAAGCGCGCGUAGGUGGUUUGUUAAGUUGGAUGUGAAAGCCCCGGGCUCAACCUGGGAACUGCAUCCAAAACUGGCAAGCUAGAGUACGGUAGAGGGUGGUGGAAUUUCCUGUGUAGCGGUGAAAUGCGUAGAUAUAGGAAGGAACACCAGUGGCGAAGGCGACCACCUGGACUGAUACUGACACUGAGGUGCGAAAGCGUGGGGAGCAAACA
RNAcentral lists this ribosomal RNA (427 nucleotides) under uncultured bacterium. Its description in RNAcentral is "partial 16S ribosomal RNA". It matches the Rfam family "Bacterial small subunit ribosomal RNA", at positions 355 to 774 of the family's 1533-position model. The record is from RNAcentral.